Molecule: long non-coding RNA, 733 nt
Filed under: Homo sapiens (human)
Lineage: Eukaryota; Metazoa; Chordata; Mammalia; Primates; Hominidae
Description: HSALNT0035949
Source: RNAcentral
CGGGCCUCCGCGGGCGGCGUCAGAGUGAGUUUUGGGUUGAGGACCCCGUCUGAUUGGGCUUCUUGGGGUCGGUGGACCCCCUGAAAUAGUAUGAAAACCCCCUCCUUCGAGGACUAGGUGCAGGACUGGGCUUGGGAACCCAGCGUCGAGCAGGAGAUCUGUGCUGUGUGGGCAGCAAAACGCUGAAAACCUCCGGGAAGAGGGACGGAGGGGAGCGGGAGCCUACGUGGGAAUGAGGAGCGGUCCAGGUGGGGAAGAACUGAUGCAGAAAUGCUAUGUAUACAUUAAAUAUAGUACAAAAUGUACAUUUAAUAUAGUGUAAGAUGAAGGCCAUCGUUUUAUUCAGAUUCUUGUGAAUAGCUUCCUGUGAACACCCCCCACCCUUCAAAAAAUAAAUAAAGGUCGAAAAAGCGAAAUAAGCAUAAAAUGCCAUCUGUCCCCUCAGUUUCAUCUAACCCUAAGGAUUGAAUUAUGGGAGUAAAGGCCAGGGUGAUUCCCUGGAAUAUCCCCAGCACAUCCUAGAAUUUCUUGUAACUCUCAUAUCUGGCAUCUUUUACAGUGUUUCUCUUCAAGGGCACUGUUGGCAUUCAGGGUGAAACAAUCCUUGGCAUGAUAGGAUGUUUGCCCUCUUUGUGGGCUCUUAAGCCCCCGUAACAUCAUUUGCCCACUAAAUGCCAUCAGUGCUGUCGCUCAUUUUGGCAAUCAAAAAGUGCCACCCUUUGUUGAAAACCAC